GAGUUCUGGGCCGCACGCGCGCUACACUGACGGAGCCAGCGAGUACCUCCUUGGCCGGAAGGCCCGGGUAAUCUUGUUAAACUCCGUCGUGCUGGGGAUAGAGCAUUGCAAUUAUUGCUCUUCAACGAGGAAUCCCUAGUAAGCGCAAGUCAUCAGCUUGCGUUGAUUACGUCCCUGCCCUUUGUACACACCGCCCGUCGCUACUACCGAUUGAAUGGCUCAGUGAGGCGUCCGGACUGGCCCAGAGAGGUGGGCAACUACCACUCAGGGCCGGAAAGCUCUCCAAACUCGGUCAUUUAGAGGAAGUAAAAGUCGUAACAAGGUCUCCGUUGGUGAACCAGCGGAGGGAUCAUUACCGAGUUUACAACUCCCAAACCCCUGUGAACAUACCUAACGUUGCCUCGGCGGGAAAGCCCCGGGCGCUGGCGCAAGCCUCGCACCGGUAUCAGGCGCCCGCCGGAGGACCAAACCAAACUCUUGUAUUCUAAAGAAUCUUCUGAGUAACCAUAAGUUAAUAAAUUAAAACUUUCAACAACGGAUCUCUUGGUUCUGGCAUCGAUGAAGAACGCAGCGAAAUGCGAUAAGUAAUGUGAAUUGCAGAAUUCAGUGAAUCAUCGAAUCUUUGAACGCACAUUGCGCCCGCCAGUACUCUGGCGGGCAUGCCUGUUCGAGCGUCAUUUCAACCCUCAAGCUCUGCUUGGUGUUGGGGAUCGGCGUAAUGCCUUCGGGCGCUGCCGUCCCCUAAAUCUAGUGGCGGUCUCGCCGUAAAUACCUCUGCGUAGUAGUUUUCUCCUCCUCUGGGAAUCUCGGGGGGGCCUUGCCGUUAAACCCCCCAACUUUUGGAAAGGUUGACCUCCAAAUCAGGGAGGGAAUACCCCGCCUGAAACUUUAAGCCUUUUCAAUUAAACCGGGGGGGAAAAAAAAAACCCCACCGGGGGGAUUGGCCCCUUAAUAAACCCGGCCAAAAUGAAAACCGGCCCAACCCGCCUCCAAAAUUUUUGAAAAAUUU
Molecule: ribosomal RNA, 1009 nt
Filed under: Hypocreales sp. LM492
Lineage: Eukaryota; Fungi; Ascomycota; Sordariomycetes; Hypocreales
Description: bacterial SSU rRNA
Rfam family: Eukaryotic small subunit ribosomal RNA (bases 1-355)
Source: RNAcentral